RNAcentral lists this ribosomal RNA (458 nucleotides) under uncultured bacterium. Its description in RNAcentral is "partial 16S ribosomal RNA". It matches the Rfam family "Bacterial small subunit ribosomal RNA", at positions 28 to 507 of the family's 1533-position model. The record is from RNAcentral.
GACGAACGCUGGCGGCGUGCUUCAUACAUGCAAGUCGAACGAGAAGCUGACUUCGGUCAGUGGAAAGUGGCGGACGGGUGAGUAAUAUGUAGGAAAUCUGCCUUUAGGAGGGGGACAACAGAGGGAAACUUCUGCUAAUACCCCAUAUGAGCGUAGCUGAAAUGCUAUUCUUGAAAACUCCGGUGCCUAAAGAUGAGCCUGCAUCUGAUUAGCUAGUUGGUAGUGUAAUGGACUACCAAGGCGACGAUCAGUAGCUGGUUUGAGAGGAUGAGCAGCCACAAUGGGACGGAGACACGGCCCAUACUCCUACGGGAGGCAGCAGUAGGGAAUUUUGCGCAAGGGGCGAAAGCCUGACGCAGCAACGCCGCGUGAACGAUUAAGCCCUUCGGGGUGUAAAGUUCUGUCAGUGGGGACGAAACUUGACGGUACCCACAGAGGAAGCACCGGCUAACUCCGUG